Molecule: long non-coding RNA, 1822 nt
Organism: Junco hyemalis (dark-eyed junco)
Lineage: Eukaryota; Metazoa; Chordata; Aves; Passeriformes; Passerellidae
Source: Ensembl
UAAGCAUUUAUUCGAGGAUGAAAUGUAAAACAAGUGUUGUUUUUUAGCGGUAUAGGGGAGAGUGUUUAAAAAUGCUCUUUUAACAGGUGUAGCUAAUUUUUCUUCCUACUAAAGAAACAGCUGAACUAAAAUAUAUAACAAGAUGAUUCGCUUUUAAAGCUGGUGGUCCCGCCAGGUGACACAAACCCCUGCGGUGUCUCCUGCAGUACCGGGGCUGCAGAAGCGGGAUGCUGAACGCUCCGCUCCUGCCUCUCGCCCGUUCCCGGCCCCGAGCGCUCCCCGCCGGUCUGAGCGCACCGCUCCGGCAGCGGCGCGAGCAUCACCUCCGCAAAUAUUUAUUUGCAGCGAUUUUCCGCUCUCAAUUAUUUAAAAUAUAAUGAAUUACGCAUAAGUACCUCGCUAUUAGGGUAAUUCCAGGUCUUAAUUGCUGCUAGCGCGGCUCCCGCCGUUCUGCCGGGAGGUGGCGCCGCGGGCCCGGCGCUGCUGCCGGAGCCGCCGGGGCCGGGGACCGGGACUGGGGGAGAGGCUGAGCUCAGCGCGGUUCGCCCCGCGGUACCGCUGCUGACAGAGUGUGAAACUAUCGUCCCGGCCCCGGGUCCGUCCUGCGGGCAGCCACGCGCGAUCGCCCAAAAAGCAGGCAGGGAAGGAAGCCGGGCGGGUCAAGGAAAGAGUUUUUUCCCCGAACGAGUCGGUCGCUCGGUAACUUCGCGGCCGCCCGCUGACUCCCGCCCGCAGCGCCGGCCAGGACGCGCUCCUUCCCCGCGGGGCACCCGACCACCGAGCCCCGUCCCCGUCCCGUGGGCGCCGCGGUGCUGCCGGCAGCGGGCCGGGGUCCCGGGCAGAGCAGGGCGAGGGGCUGCCCGGCGGGACCGCUCUCCUCGCCCGCUCCGGCCGCUGUCAAUGGGGGCCCCCGCGCCGCUGAGGUUCCAAAUCCGCGCUAAGGCAAUCGGUGCUGUUAAAAUUCGCGAUGCGCGAGUGCCGGAGCCCCGGGGCUGGGGCAGCCGGGUGGUCCCGGCUCUGCCCCCGCUCGCGUUCGCCCCGCGGGCGCUGCCGCCCCUCUCCUCGGGAGCCCCGACGGCGCGGCCGCUCCGCGCACCCACCGAGAUGCGGAGCCACCCCCGCGGAGCGGCUCCGGGCGGGCACCCAGCCCCGUCCCCGGGACGGUCAGUCCCGCUCAGCGGCCGGUGCGCGCCGCUGCGCACCCGCGCACUGUGUCUAAGCCGUGUUUGCGCCCACAGCGGCGGGCGCUGCGGGGAGAACGCGGGCAGCGCCCGCCUCGCCGCUCCGCGCAGAGUAGCGUGUUUUCACACCCGGCGAGCGCUUCGGCAGAGAUGUGAUAUGCAGGAGAAGCCAGGAAGCAUUUGCUAGGUGGAAUUCAGAGACGCUGUGCGCUAGAGAUCAGCAGCGUCUUUGAGACCGUUCUUAGAGGUCCUGGCAAGCAAACUUUAUUCCAGAGCUUCGAAAGGUAUGGCCAGGCUGGGAGCGCUUAACGUCGUGCCACCGAGGACGCGCGUCAGCGCCGGCCGUGCUGAGGCACAGCGGUGUUCAAAUCGUGAGUCUGAUUGUUUUUCUGUUGGCCAGAGCCUUGUGGAGUGUCUCGUUGCGAGAAGAGCCAGAGAAGAUCUCGUGGCUGCUGGAGGUGGUUGGUUUUGCGCUGACAGAAGCGCUGCUCGCAGCCUGCUCGCUGUGCGGUUCCAUCCCGCAGCUCGCUGUGCUGGGAACGGCAGCUCCUGCAGGUAACAAGGUGAUGCCAGUGUAGAGAGAGGGGGGGAAAAAUCCAGCGUGGAAUAAACCAUGCAGUCCUUAGAGGAGAAAGUUAAUU